This 67-nucleotide transfer RNA is filed under the name Marmota monax (woodchuck). RNAcentral describes it as "tRNA.Ala". Lineage: Eukaryota; Metazoa; Chordata; Mammalia; Rodentia; Sciuridae. The record is from RNAcentral.
GGUUAUGGCUCAGCGGUAGAGAGCUCGCUUGGCAUGAGGGAGGCCCUGGGUUCGAUCCUCAGCACUG